Molecule: ribosomal RNA, 476 nt
Filed under: uncultured bacterium
Lineage: Bacteria
Description: bacterial SSU rRNA
Rfam family: Bacterial small subunit ribosomal RNA
Source: RNAcentral
ACUCCUACGGGAGGCAGCAGUGGGGAAUAUUGCACAAUGGGCGCAAGCCUGAUGCAGCCAUGCCGCGUGUGUGAAGAAAGGCCUUCGGGUUGUAAAGCACUUUCAGUUGUGAGGAAGGUGGUGUCGUUAAUAGCGGCAUCAUUUGACGUUACCUACAGAAGAAGCACCGGCUAACUCCGUGCCAGCAGCCGCGGUAAUACGGAGGGUGCGAGCGUUAAUCGGAAUUACUGGGCGUAAAGCGCAUGCAGGCGGCCUGUUAAGUCAGAUGUGAAAGCCCGGGGCUUAACCUCGGAAUUGCAUUUGAAACUGGCAGGCUAGAGUCUUGUAGAGGGGGGUAGAAUUUCAGGUGUAGCGGUGAAAUGCGUAGAGAUCUGAAGGAAUACCAGUGGCGAAAGGCGGCCCCCUGGACAAAGACUGACGCUCAGAUGCGAAAAGGCUGGGGGAGCAAACAGGAUUAGAUACCCUGGUAGCACAGA